AAAUGACUCGAGGGAGCCAGAGAUUAAGAUAGCCUAACCAUCAGAAAAAAACUCUUCCUUAGCCUACUCCUUCCGCUGCUGCUGGCCUUCGUAAAUUCUGAUGUUAUGGUCCUAUAGUUUCUGGUAAUAGACUACACCACCAGUCGUUAUGCUCCUAUAGUUUCUGGUAAUAGCCUACACCAGCAGUCGUUAUGCUCCUAUAGUUUCUGGUAAUAGGCUACACCAGCAGUCGUUAUGCUCCUAUAGUUUCUGGUAAUAGGCUACACCAGCAGUCGUUAUGCUCCUAUAGUUUCUGGUAAUAGACUACACCAGCAGUC
This 317-nucleotide long non-coding RNA is filed under the name Salmo salar (Atlantic salmon). RNAcentral describes it as "lncRNA (ENSSSAG00000102943.1)". Lineage: Eukaryota; Metazoa; Chordata; Actinopteri; Salmoniformes; Salmonidae. The record is from RNAcentral.